CUAGAGAUCGCCCGCCGUCGCCCCUGGGAGCUCCGGCCGCCGCCGUGUCCGCCGUCAUCUCUGGACCCGAGCCCUAGCUCGUGUGGGCUUGCCUUGUUCCGCCGCCGCCGCUACUUCCAAUCGCCACCCGAGGUGAGCUUGGUACUCCUCGCCUUCCCCGCAACCUUCCCUGGCCCGUGCGCACCUCGUCGUGCCGCCGGUGGCCGGCCGGAGCAAGCUUGCUCCGGCCAAGCCCGAAAUAGCGCUUAGUUGAGUAGGUUUGCUGUUCCGAGCUACCCGAGGCUCCCCGACCUCUGCGGAAGGGAGCACAGUGAUUCUAGCAAGUUGCUGAUCAUCGUGCUUACCUUAGAUGCUGUCGGGGAGACUCCGUUCCGCUGUUUUGGCAGUGUCGACCCUGUUGAGCUUUUUCAGCUGCUGUUCCGUGCUUACGCGCGUUUUUCCGACGAUCCGAGACUGUUUCGAUGCCUCCGGAGGUGAGCACGGUGAUUGUUGGUCAGUUCUGAUCACAGUGCUUACCUUACUUUGGAUCAGUGGAUGUCGUAUCGGCUUGUUCGGCGCAAUUUUCCCCGACUGCGCGCUGUUCGCUGAACCUUCCGGUUGCUCCCGCGCUUCCCACAGUGAGCCGUUGCGCUCCGGACCAUGAGAACGGCCUUUGGCACGUCGAGACCUGUCAGUACGUGUCUCAGCGGACCUUAGAAGUUCUCGGUUUGCAUGAACGAGCCACUUAAUUGCCGGAAUUACAUAAAAUGAUAGAAUUUUAUUGAAAUUAAGGGGCUUUUAUGUAAUUGUGCACCUUGUGGCUACUGUGGGCAGUGCACGUCCGUGUGUGGAGACCUCUGGACUGAUUGUCCAUGAUCCGAUAGCAUUUGCGGAAAUCGAGGAGUCGAUUUCGGUGCGUUUUUCGGCGAAAUUGGCCGAAAGAAUGCGGUUUCGGUUCGGAUUUCUUCCGACGUGGUUUGGUUGCCCUGUGAGUUGUCACUGAGCCUUGUCGGCUGGUCACUAUCAUCAUAUAGGGGGUUCGAUGAUGAUGGGUGAGUGAUGGAGGGUUCCGGUGUCGAAAUAGACGCUUCCGGGAACCCGAAUUUGUACAAUUAUCCGGCGAUAAUUGUAUAGUAGUGUUACCUUAUGUUUGCUGCCAAGACAUCCAAAUCAGAGUGAUUUGUGGCAGCGGGUAACUCGUGAUACGAGUUGGUGAGUUUCGGUACACUUAGUGGGUCCCGAUAGAUUUCGGUGUGGUUUUUGGGACUUCCGGUGAGUUACGGUGAUCGAUUUUGGGAAACCGAUUCGGGGACUUGUGUGGGGGUUUGUGAGUCUCGUACUUUGGGUUAGUGGGUUGGUUACUGACCUGGCGGACCUUCGUAGGUCCGGUUGACGAUCGUGUACAGUUGGGAGACAGGUGCGACACUAGUACAGGUGGGUGCUUCGAGCUGGUAGUCGGUAAGAUCGUUUCAUCCUUCUUCUGUUCUUUCAUAUCAGUAUUGUAGUCUCUACAUGUCUUUGCUUUGAUUAUCAUUCGUAUAUCUUACUUUGUUGGUUGCAUUUUGUUAGUUGUUGAUAGACAUGUAGAGCAGGUUGCAUAUAUAUAUUGUAUAUAUCUGUGGACCUUGGGUCUAGGCAACACAUCGACUCCUUUGUUCUGUGUUUCGAUCUGGUUGAUCGUGAUUCGGCGUUGGACCCCCUUGCACCUGGCUUCGGCCAAGGCACCGGUCUCUUUUUGCCGGUCUUCGUUUUGAGCAUAUCAGCAUGAUUUAGUCACAGCACUGUGUAUUCUAGACACCAGGUUGGUUUGGCCACUAAGGGGUGUACGUAUCCGGAUAGGUCGUCGGUGACGCAUGAAUAAGUUGCCAGUGUCUGCUCUGUGACAGGUAACGCUUGAGGUCUGCGGACCAAUAUAGCAACAUCAGAUUGGGUUUGGUUUGGACUAUUUACCCUUGAG
RNAcentral lists this long non-coding RNA (1936 nucleotides) under Ananas comosus (pineapple). Its description in RNAcentral is "long non-coding RNA (ACOM_LNC019798)". Lineage: Eukaryota; Viridiplantae; Streptophyta; Magnoliopsida; Poales; Bromeliaceae. The record is from RNAcentral.